GCAAGGUUAAGCACUUAAGGUGUGGAGCCGUAGCGAAAGCGAGUUUUAACUGAGCGUUCAGUUACUUGACGUAGACCCGAAACCGGGCGACCUACCCAUGAGCAGGAUGAAGCGAAAGUAAAAUUUCGUGGAGGUCCGAACCCACGAGCGUUGAAAAGCUCGGGGAUGACUUGUGGGUAGCGGUGAAAUUCCAAUCGAGCCCGGAGAUAGCUGGUUCUCCCCGAAUAGCUUUAGGGCUAGCCUCAAGGUGAGAGAUACGGAGGUAGAGCACUGAAUGUCCUAG
Molecule: ribosomal RNA, 283 nt
Filed under: Clostridioides difficile
Lineage: Bacteria; Bacillati; Bacillota; Clostridia; Peptostreptococcales; Peptostreptococcaceae
Description: partial 23S ribosomal RNA
Rfam family: Bacterial large subunit ribosomal RNA
Source: RNAcentral